AUGCCACUGAUCGGUAACGGAUGCAGGGCUGUGUAGGUUGGAUAUUAGUAUACUUCACACCCUUUUCUCCAUCCUUUUCGUAUUUACUAUAUUUCUUAUAUUGUUGUUAUUUUGGUAUUUUAUAUUAUUUAUUUUAUGAUAUUUAUUAUGACUCUAUUGAUAGUACUAAUAUAUUGUCUCUUGUUGCUCUCUUGAACCGAGGGUUUCCUGGAAAUAGCCUUUCUGCCUCUCGGGGUAGGGGUAAAGUCUGCGUACAUACUACCCUCCCCAGACCCCACUGAUGGGAUUAUACUGGGAUGUUGUUGUUGUUGUUGUAAGAAAAGAACAAUGCUUUGCGUAUGAACCUUUUGACCUUCAACAAGUGAAGUGAAUCGUUCACUUUGCUCUUGCCUAAUGCCCAACAACAACAACCACCAUGCUUCAGUCCUGAAUUGGGGCUAAUGUCCUGCAUAAGAAAAUUAAUUGAAUUAUUAUGUGCUUGUUAUGAUGUUUGUGAUGGUUUUUCUUUUGGGGGGUGGGGGUGGGGGUGGGGUGUUGAGUGGAGAAGUUCAAGAAAUGGUGGGUAAUGGCCUGGAUGCUAACUACAAUGGUUUUACCUUUCUGCAGGAAAUAUAAUUUCUUGGCAAUAAUGGGGCUGAUGAUAUGCUCAAUAUCUUGUGGAGUUAAUCUCCUUAUGUCCUGAAUAAUAGUCUCACAUCGGAGCUGUUCCUAGUAAUUCCCUUUAUUUCCAGUAAAGGCUGUCUUUUGUGUAUUUCCCUGUCGCAUUUUGAUGUUGCCGUUUGGUUUAGUUCUCUUGUUUUCCUGGUUGCUGCCAGUUUCCAGCUCUUGUAAUGUGAUCUAGGUCUUUUAAGUUGGACCUCCUUGUGGAAUUCUGUUAAUAAUAUGAGUUAAUUGGUACUCUGUAUCAAGAUAUAUCAUCUGUGUACUGUUUCAGUGUUUGUGAUUUUGGUUGCAGUGAAUUUGUAAUGAUUUGGCAGGAAAGUUAGCUAGUAUAUUUGACCUGAUUGAAAGUUUAA
This 1016-nucleotide long non-coding RNA is filed under the name Nicotiana tabacum (common tobacco). Its description in RNAcentral is "long non-coding RNA (NTAB_LNC014163)". Lineage: Eukaryota; Viridiplantae; Streptophyta; Magnoliopsida; Solanales; Solanaceae. The record is from RNAcentral.